AAGUCUUCGAGAGCUGGAAUUGGCUGA
This 27-nucleotide non-coding RNA is filed under the name Cricetulus griseus (Chinese hamster). The record is from RNAcentral. Lineage: Eukaryota; Metazoa; Chordata; Mammalia; Rodentia; Cricetidae.